AUGUUCAGGGCACGAGGCCUGGCACCAAAUAGGCCCUCGAUCAAGAAUAGUAAAACCUCGGAGAGAGUAGGAGCCUUGGUAUCCAGGUUUACCAAAUACCAAGGGGCUCCCACGACUCAAGUAUGAGGAGGGCGACCCAGGUACCACUUUCCUGGCUCCCUAGCCCAGCUGCUCAUGCUCCUCUUCCUCGUCUCCUCCCCCACUCUCAUCUCCUCAGCCCGCCCGGAACGCCCGCGGGCUAGGCCACAACGGCUCGGGAACCGCCGCCGGUAUCCGCGUCCGCAGCGCCGCCAGCCAGGCGGGAGCCGUGUGGGAUCCCAGCGCCCGCACUCCCGCCCCCGCCAAGGAGCCAGGAAUGGCACAACUAGAGAGGAGCGCCAUCUCUGGCUUCAGCUCUAAGUCCAGGCGAAACUCAUUCACAUAUGAUGUUAAGCGUGAAGUAUACAAUGAGGAGACCUUUCAACAGGAACACAAAAGGAAGGCCUCUACUUCUGGGAACAUGAACAUCAACAUCACCACCUUCAGACACCACGUCCAGUGCCGCUGUUCAUGGCACAGGUUCCUACGAUGCAUGCUUACAGUCUUUCCCUUCCUAGAAUGGAUGUGUAUGUAUCGAUUAAAGGAUUGGCUUCUGGGAGACUUACUUGCUGGUAUAAGUGUUGGCCUUGUGCAAGUUCCCCAAGGCCUGACACUUAGUUUGCUGGCAAGGCAACUGAUUCCUCCUCUCAACAUCGCUUAUGCAGCUUUCUGUUCUUCGGUAAUCUAUGUAAUUUUUGGAUCGUGUCAUCAAAUGUCCAUUGGUUCCUUCUUCCUGGUGAGUGCUCUGCUGAUCAACGUUCUGAAAGUGAGCCCAUUCAACAAUGGUCAACUGGUCAUGGGAUCUUUCGUCAAGAAUGAGUUUUCUGCCCCCUCCUACCUUAUGGGCUAUAAUAAAUCCUUGAGUGUGGUGGCAACCACAACUUUUCUGACUGGGAUUAUUCAGCUAAUAAUGGGCGUAUUGGGUUUGGGCUACAUUGCCACUUACCUUCCGGAGUCUGCAAUGAGUGCUUACCUGGCUGCUGUGGCACUUCAUAUCAUGCUGUCCCAGCUGACUUUCAUCUUCGGGAUUAUGAUUAGUUUCCAUGCCGGUCCCAUCUCCUUCUUCUAUGACAUAAUUAAUUACUGUGUAGCUCUCCCAAAAGCGAAUUCCACCAGCAUUCUACUAUUUCUAACUGUUGUUGUUGCUCUGCGAAUCAACAAAUGUAUCAGAAUUUCUUUCAAUCAGUAUCCCAUUGAGUUUCCCAUGGAAUUAUUUCUGAUUAUUGGCUUCACUGUGAUUGCAAACAAGAUAAGCAUGGCCACAGAAACCAGCCAGACGCUUAUUGACAUGAUUCCUUAUAGCUUUCUGUUUCCUGUAACACCAGAUUUCAGCCUUCUUCCCAAGAUAAUUUUACAAGCCUUCUCCUUAUCUUUGGUGAGCUCCUUUCUGCUCAUAUUUCUGGGCAAGAAGAUUGCCAGUCUUCACAAUUACAGUGUCAAUUCCAACCAGGAUUUAAUAGCCAUCGGCCUUUGCAAUGUCGUCAGUUCAUUUUUCAGAUCUUGUGUGUUUACUGGUGCUAUUGCUAGGACUAUUAUCCAGGAUAAAUCUGGAGGAAGACAACAGUUUGCAUCUCUGGUAGGCGCAGGUGUGAUGCUGCUCCUGAUGGUGAAGAUGGGACACUUUUUCUACACACUGCCAAAUGCUGUGCUGGCUGGUAUUAUUCUGAGCAACGUCAUUCCCUACCUUGAAACCAUUUCUAACCUACCCAGCCUGUGGAGGCAGGACCAAUAUGACUGUGCUCUUUGGAUGAUGACAUUCUCAUCUUCAAUUUUCCUGGGACUGGACAUUGGACUAAUUAUCUCGGUAGUUUCUGCUUUCUUCAUCACCACUGUUCGUUCACACAGGUACUUUGUCUCAGGUAAUAGGAGGUUAACAAGGCAAGGUAAGCCAACUCUGACCUAAAGGCAAGUGCAUUUCCUUUCAGAGCUAAGAUUCUUCUCCUGGGUCAAAUCCCUAACACCAACAUUUAUAGAAGCAUCAAUGAUUAUCGGGAGGUAAGAAUCCAAAUGGGUCCCAUUUCUCUGCCUAAGGGAUAGGGUGGGCCCCACCUCAUGCUUAGUUUUUCUACAAAAUCCCUUGCCAUUGUUUCCUGCACUGCAGAUACACAUUUACAAAGGAGGGGGAUGUGAUGUACAGUGGUAGAGAUGGGUUCUUUGUUUUUAUUUUUUUUUUUUGGAGACAGAGUCUUGCUCUGUCACCCAAGCUGGACAGUGCAGUGCAGUGGCUCGAUCUUGGCUUACUGCAACCUCCACCUGCCAGGUUCAAGCAAUUCUCCUGCCUCGGCCUCCCCAGUAGCUGGGAUUACAGGCGCGCCCCAUCAUACCCGGCUAAUUUUUUGUAUUUUAGUAGAGACAGGGUUUCACCAUGUUGCCCAGGCUUGGACUCCUGAGCUCAGGCAAUCUGCUUGCCUCAGCCUUCUAGAGUGCUAGGAUUACAGGCAUGACUUAACACGCCCAGCCAAGACGGGUUCUUAAGUAGCUAAAUUCUUAUAGUAUUGCAGCCAGUUAAAGAUCAUUUGUAAAUGUACUUUAAGGAGAGUUUGGCCAAGAAAAAGGAAAUGAAGGGAGAAAGAAGACAGCAGGAAAAGCAGAGGGUGAAAAUGGGAGGAAAUAAUUUUCUAGUUCUUGUCUCUAAUAAAGAAGAAUACAGGCCGGGUGUGUUGGCUCACACCUGUAAUUCCAGCACUUUGGGAGGCCAGGCAUUUGAGACCAGCGUGGCCAACAUGGUGAAACCCCGUAUCUACUAAAAAUACAAAAAUUAGCAGGGCGUGAUUGCAGGUGCCUGUAAUCCCAGCUACUCAAGAGGCUGAGGCAGGAGAACUGCUUGAACCCGAGAAGUGGAGGUUGCAGUGAGCCAAGAUCGCGCCAUUGCACUCCAGCCUGGGCGACAGAGUGAGACUCUGUCUC
This 2985-nucleotide small RNA is filed under the name Pan troglodytes (chimpanzee). RNAcentral describes it as "retained intron". The record is from RNAcentral. Lineage: Eukaryota; Metazoa; Chordata; Mammalia; Primates; Hominidae.